GGGGAAUAUUGCACAAUGGGGGAAACCCUGAUGCAGCAACGCCGCGUAAGCGAUGAAGGCCUUCGGGUUGUAAAGCUCUGUCUUCGCUGACGAUAAUGACGGUAAGCGAGGAGGAAGCCACGGCUAACUACGUGCCAGCAGCCGCGGUAAUACGUAGGUGGCAAGCGUUGUCCGGAAUUACUGGGCGUAAAGGAUGCGUAGGCGGCCUCUUAAGUGGGAUGUGAAAUGCCGGGGCUUAACACCGGAGGUGCAUUCCAUACUGGGAGGCUAGAGUGCAGGAGAGGAAAGCGGAAUUCCCAGUGUAGCGGUGAAAUGCGUAGAGAUUGGGAGGAACACCAGUGGCGAAGGCGGCUUUCUGGACUGUAACUGACGCUGAGGCAUGAAAGUGUGGGGAGCAAAC
This 400-nucleotide ribosomal RNA is filed under the name uncultured bacterium. Its description in RNAcentral is "bacterial SSU rRNA". It matches the Rfam family "Bacterial small subunit ribosomal RNA", at positions 356 to 773 of the family's 1533-position model. The record is from RNAcentral.